Nematostella vectensis (starlet sea anemone) is the source of this 1107-nucleotide long non-coding RNA. RefSeq lists it as uncharacterized. The record is from RefSeq and is a predicted model, not a curated record. The transcript has 4 exons. Lineage: Eukaryota; Metazoa; Cnidaria; Anthozoa; Actiniaria; Edwardsiidae.
ACUAAGAAUAUUUACUUAGAAUAUUUACUAAGAAUGCCGGGUAAAAUGUCCGUCAUAUUACUGGGGACUGGGGCGAGCUUUCGUUUCUUCCGCAAAAAAAAUGUCGAAGCGAAGCCAAGCGAAGGUGCUGAUCGAAUAUUGUGGUGGAUGAGGGUACUAUCCACGCUUUCAGGGUCUGCGGGAUGAGAUUCUUGCGGAGUGCCCUGAAGCACAGGUGGAGGGUAAAGUGGGAAGAUCAGGUUCUUUUGAGGUAACCAUCAAUGGAAAAGAAGUAUUUUCAAAGCUAAAACAGGGGGGAUUUCCAGUUUGUGAUGAGGUUGUCAAUUCAGUCAUAGAGGCAUGCAAAGGCUUAGACCCUCCACAUGUUGAGGAAGUUGAUAAAUCUGGCUGUUCUAUCCAAUAAAAUGCAACAAAUCUAAGCUCUACAUUUAUAGCAUAUGCAAUAAUGGGCCCUGAUGUCUGUUAUUGUUUUUUUUGUAACUGAAUGUUAUUAAAUUCUAAAUAUAAAAAAGGUCAGAAAUUUUAAUACACUCAGAGAUACAUUUCACUGUACAGUCUUGUACACUACAUUUUGCCAUCCAUUCCAUGCAGUAAUUUAUUUCUUUUCCUUGGUUUUCUAUUUAUUUGGAAUGUGUAGUUCCAGUAAAUCAUGGAGGGGGUCGGAGGUAUAACCUCCCCCCCCCCCCCCCCCAUCCCUUUGAAAUUUCCAACCCCAUGGAAAAAAAUAAAUACAGUAACUGUUAAGGAAAAAGGACAUUCCCUGCCCUCUGGAAAUUCCUGGCCGUUUGAACCCCCCGGAGAUGGAUAUUUUCUGGAACUACACAAUUCACAUUUAAAUUUGUUCUAUGCUAUGAAUGAAUGUAGAUUUUUAUUGACACACUGCUCUUUCAUGGGCUGAUGAUUGUCUUCAAGAUUUAGUGACGGUUUGUUGGGUGUGUAGAAUGAAGGCUAUCAUAUAAACAGGAGUCUAUUGGCUCUUGAAGUGAUAUCUGGAUGUAGAGACAUGCCCUCAUUUCACACUAUUUUGUAAGAAUAUGAUACCCAUGGCAAGAAAGCGUGUUUAUGGAAUAUAAUCUUAUUAUUACAAAUAAACAAUUAUUAUUUGUA